Molecule: ribosomal RNA, 405 nt
Filed under: Parvimonas micra
Lineage: Bacteria; Bacillati; Bacillota; Tissierellia; Tissierellales; Peptoniphilaceae
Description: bacterial SSU rRNA
Rfam family: Bacterial small subunit ribosomal RNA
Source: RNAcentral
AUCGGUGUAAGAAGGGCUCGCGUCUGAUUAGCUAGUUGGAAGGGUAAAGGCCUACCAAGGCGACGAUCAGUAGCCGGUCUGAGAGGAUGAACGGCCACAUUGGAACUGAGACACGGUCCAAACUCCUACGGGAGGCAGCAGUGGGGAAUAUUGCACAAUGGGGGGAACCCUGAUGCAGCGACGCCGCGUGAGCGAAGAAGGUUUUCGAAUCGUAAAGCUCUGUCCUAUGAGAAGAUAAUGACGGUAUCAUAGGAGGAAGCCCCGGCUAAAUACGUGCCAGCAGCCGCGGUAAUACGUAUGGGGCGAGCGUUGUCCGGAAUUAUUGGGCGUAAAGGGUACGUAGGCGGUUUUUUAAGUCAGGUGUGAAAGCGUGAGGCUUAACCUCAUUAAGCACUUGAAACUGGA